RNAcentral lists this transfer RNA (73 nucleotides) under Camponotus floridanus (Florida carpenter ant). It matches the Rfam family "tRNA". Rfam says of the family: Transfer RNA (tRNA) molecules are approximately 80 nucleotides in length. Their secondary structure includes four short double-helical elements and three loops (D, anti-codon, and T loops). Further hydrogen bonds mediate the characteristic L-shaped molecular structure. tRNAs have two regions of fundamental functional importance: the anti-codon, which is responsible for specific mRNA codon recognition, and the 3' end, to which the tRNAs corresponding amino acid is attached (by aminoacyl-tRNA synthetases). tRNAs cope with the degeneracy of the genetic code in two manners: having more than one tRNA (with a specific anti-codon) for a particular amino acid; and 'wobble' base-pairing, i.e. permitting non-standard base-pairing at the 3rd anti-codon position. Lineage: Eukaryota; Metazoa; Arthropoda; Insecta; Hymenoptera; Formicidae. The record is from Rfam by way of RNAcentral.
GUCUGGAUAGCUCAGUGGUCUAGAGCAGUUGCACAGAAAGCGAAAGAUACGGGUUUGAUUCCCGAUUCAGCCA